CAGUCGCGUUGGUUGGGAAUCAGUCCUGCUUCUGCAUGAUGUACUUUCCAGUCAAUGGGUCAGCAUCAGUUUUGACUGCUGGAUAAAGGCUGAGGGAAUGUGGCACCUUUGGGUGUGUUAUAGCGCUUGGUUGUAUACCGUGGUUGGGACUGAGGAUCUCAGGCCGCAAGGCUGUAGGAUGCUGGCAUAAUGGCUUUAANCGACCCGUUUGAAACACGGACCAAGGAGUCUAACAUAUAUG
RNAcentral lists this ribosomal RNA (241 nucleotides) under Diversispora epigaea. The record is from RNAcentral. Lineage: Eukaryota; Fungi; Glomeromycota; Glomeromycetes; Diversisporales; Diversisporaceae.